RNAcentral lists this ribosomal RNA (425 nucleotides) under uncultured bacterium. RNAcentral describes it as "partial 16S ribosomal RNA". It matches the Rfam family "Bacterial small subunit ribosomal RNA", at positions 354 to 796 of the family's 1533-position model. The record is from RNAcentral.
GUUAGGAAUAUUGGACAAUGGGCGCAAGCCUGAUCCAGCCAUGCCGCGUGAGUGAUGAAGGCCUUCGGGUUGUAAAGCUCUUUAGCCGAUGAUUAUAAUGACUGUAGUCGGAAAAUAAGCCCCGGCUAACUUCGUGCCAGCAGCCGCGGUAAUACGAAGGGGGCGAGCAUUAUUCGGAAUCACUGGGCGUAAAGCGUGCGUAGGCGGCUUUGCAAGUUGGGAGUGAAAGCCCAGGGCUCAACCCUGGAAUUGCUCUCAAAACUGCAAGGCUCGAAUUCGGGAGAGGAUAGCGGAAUUGUCAGUGUAGCAGUGAAAUGCGUAGAUAUUGACAGGAACACCAGUGGCGUAAGCGGCUAUCUGGACCGAUAUUGACGCUGAGGCACGAAAGCGUGGGGAUCAAACAGGAUUAGAAACCCCGGUAGUCC